ACGGUGGUGGCGAAAUAGGUAAACGCAUUAGAUUUAGGAUCUAACAGAAAUAAAUAUAAAUUCUAUGAGAGUUCGAGUCUCUCCUUCCGUA
RNAcentral lists this transfer RNA (91 nucleotides) under Nephromyces sp. ex Molgula occidentalis. RNAcentral describes it as "tRNA-Leu". It matches the Rfam family "tRNA". From Rfam's summary of the family: Transfer RNA (tRNA) molecules are approximately 80 nucleotides in length. Their secondary structure includes four short double-helical elements and three loops (D, anti-codon, and T loops). The record is from RNAcentral. Lineage: Eukaryota; Apicomplexa; Aconoidasida; Nephromycida.